Molecule: unclassified non-coding RNA, 148 nt
Organism: Papio anubis (olive baboon)
Lineage: Eukaryota; Metazoa; Chordata; Mammalia; Primates; Cercopithecidae
Rfam family: Metazoan signal recognition particle RNA
About the family: The signal recognition particle (SRP) is a universally conserved ribonucleoprotein. It is involved in the co-translational targeting of proteins to membranes.
Source: Ensembl
GCUGGGUGUGGUGGCACACACUUGUAGUCCUAGCUACAUGGAAGGCUGAGGUGGGAGGAUUGCUUGAGCCCAGGACUUGGAGACUGCAGUGAGCUGUAAUCACACCACUGCACUCUAGCCUGAGCAACAGAGCAAGACCCUGUCUCUU